RNAcentral lists this ribosomal RNA (253 nucleotides) under uncultured bacterium. RNAcentral describes it as "partial 16S ribosomal RNA". It matches the Rfam family "Bacterial small subunit ribosomal RNA", at positions 524 to 776 of the family's 1533-position model. The record is from RNAcentral.
UACGAGUGCCCCAAGCGUUAUCCGGAAUUAUUGGGCGUAAAGGGCGUGUAGGUGGUCUUGUUAGUCUUCUGUGAAAUUCUUCGGCUUAACCGGGGGUCCGCAGGGGAAACGGCAGGACUAGAGGAUGCGAGAGGUGUGCGGAACUCAUGGUGUAGGGGUGAAAUCCGUUGAUAUCAUGGGGAACACCGAAAGCGAAGGCAGCACACUGGCGCACUCCUGACACUGAAACACGAAAGCGUGGGUAGCGAAUGGG